Molecule: long non-coding RNA, 1525 nt
Organism: Arvicola amphibius (Eurasian water vole)
Lineage: Eukaryota; Metazoa; Chordata; Mammalia; Rodentia; Cricetidae
Exons: 2
Source: RefSeq, a predicted model, not a curated record
CUUCCUGGUGGUUCUGUCAUCAUGCUUCCUGCUGUACCUGCCGUGAUUGGUGGCUGGCACACGAAAUUCUUGUAUUCAGGUCAAGCAGAGGCCAGGGAGAGGUAACGAAAGAAUGGGGUGGAUUAGUUUCACCUGUCUCUUCUUUCUCCGCUCCACCUGGGCAGCAGAGAUGUGACAGGUGCUCUCCAGCAUCAGAACGAGAAGCGAAGGGAGACAGUGUUGUGUUUGUGUUAACUGUCUCUGAAAGCAGAGGUCAAGAAGAGUCACUGAAAUGACACGGGACACGAAGGAACAUUUCCUGUCCGUCCAGCUUGGAGCAGCUUGGAGACCUUUGAAUAGGAUAACGGGUUGAGGUUGUGCUUUUUUCCUGGUGGCGUACAGCUGUCUUUGUGCCUUUCCCAGCGAGGGAUGGUAACAUGCUUCCUGCCUGCAGCCUGGACAGAGUGGGAGGUGCAUGGAGGUGCAUGGAGGUGCUCGGCUUCUCCCACCAGAAUUUUCAAGACCUCAGUUGUCCACAUUCUGAAGGCAACUGGUCUGCCUGCAACCUCUACACCCUCUCAGCAGCCCAGCCUGCAGAUAAGACACCGGCACGGAGCGCUAACAUGGCUGCGGUCUGGAAGACCACGGCUAUCGCUUCUCCUCAAGGCUGAUUAAUUACUUGAUUCGCACCUGGCAAGUUUAUGAGACACUGUAAGCAGCAGGCAGCAGGUGCUGCUGGAAGCAUUUGGCCAGCAGGGAUUUUCAGAGAAGGGCUGGUUUGUGAAACAAUGUAAUGAACUAAGCCAGCAAGGGAAAAUGUUUUUAUGCUUCUUACUCCUUGGUUCUGCGUUUCCUAUCUGUAUAAAGUGACCCUGGAGUUUACCAUGGGUCAGGUCAGGUCAGGAACAAACAGUUCAUGCCAGUCCAAAACUGAAAAGUCAGUAGCCGCAUAGAACACGUCCAAAGUGCCCUCGGUGCUUACCACCCAACCCUCAUGUGAACACGUCAACCUUAGAGUAUAACAGUCCCACAGGCUAAAUCAAGACAGUAUUUGAUAGGGGGGGGGACUCAAAUUCAGUAUCUAAAAAUUAAACAAAGCAAAAUUUAAUAGCAAAUCAAAUUGUAUUUUCUCUCUGUGGUGUACAUACAAUGAUAACCUUGACUCUGAGGAAGAGAGCUGAAUGUUGAUGGCGAAGAGGUGUUAGUCCUUAUCCUAGACUCAUUCUGAAUUGGUAGUGAUUAGGGACACAGCAAUUUUAUGGGUGUGUGUUCACUCACUAUUACCUAAGACUUCUAUUUUUUUAAAGCUCAGUUGGGAUGCGCAUUCCAACUGAGAAGCUUCCAGUAAACUUGAAUAUUUACUAUUUGUCGUGUGCUCUACUCCCUGGGAUGUUUUUUCUUGCUAAUGACACAACUGUCAUGCUGCCUAGAAUAUUCUACAUGGACACAGAACAAUACAGAACUCUGAAAUGUGGUCUGCUCUUAUUUGGACUUAACAAAACUGGUUUCAAAUGCUUUAUAAUAAAUUUAUCAAUUGUUUUCUCCA